GUGCCCACUUUGACAGCACAUAAACUAAAAUUGGAACCAUACCAAGAAGAUGAGUGUGGACCCUGAGUGCAGAUGACAUGCAAGUUUGUGAAGCGUUUCCUAUUUUU
This is a small nuclear RNA of Mustela putorius furo (domestic ferret), 107 nucleotides long. The record is from Ensembl. NCBI's taxonomy places the organism in Eukaryota, Metazoa, Chordata, Mammalia, Carnivora, Mustelidae.